UACGUGCUCUCUGAUAGAAGUUCCAGGGUAUUUUUUAUUGAUCAAAAAAUAAAAAUAAAUCCAGGGUUUGGCCGUUUGGGUUUCUUCCGAUGAUUCGAUCUCCAAUUAGAAAAGAAGAAGACGAUUAAACUACUUAUAUCAAAGUUUUAUCUUUUCAUUCUUGAGGCGAUGAAACAUUGAUUCAAAUCAUGGGUCCAUUUAGAAGAACAAAAUGCAAGAGUGGUGCUUCUAAAAAAAAGGGAAAGGCAAGACCUGAAAAGCUUACGAAUUCUCUACGAGGAGCAAUGAAUAGAUAUUUGGUUUCAAAUAAUGACAUCCAUGAAGAAACAAUGAAUGACAGUGAUGAAGAAUGGGAAAUUUGGUUAAUGAGAUGGAAACAAAUGGUGAUUUUUUGGUGAAUGAUGAGAAUGCACAUAAGAAAAAUGAAGCCUAAUUUUCCAGAAAAUCGCAUCAUUAAAAGAACAAGACAUAUUUUGAUGAUGAAAGUGCACCCGAAACCGGUAAAGCAAUUGAAGUAUUGAAUUUCUUAAAGGAUAUGGAAUGUUGCUACCCGAAUGCGUUUAUUGCAUACCAAAUCUUAUUGACAAUUCCAGUUAUAGUCGCCUCGGCCGAACAAAGUUUUUCGAAGUUGAAGUUAAUUAAGAAUUAUCUUCGAUCUACGAUGUCACAAAAAAGGUUGAAUGGGUUAGCAAUGUUAUCUAUUGAGAUUCAGAUGUUAGAUAACAUUGAUUUUGAUAGUAUAAUUGAAGAUUUCGCAUCGGAAAGGGCAGGAAGAUCAGUUUUUAUCAUGAGAUAAGGUAUUUGUUUUGUGUUUUAAACUUUUUUUGGCAGUAUCGUUUGACAUUGGCAGUAUCGUUUGACAAUGUGUAAUAAUUUUAUAUAAAAACACCAGAAUUUCUGUUAUUUUGCUUA
Papaver somniferum (opium poppy) is the source of this 912-nucleotide long non-coding RNA. RefSeq lists it as uncharacterized. NCBI's taxonomy places the organism in Eukaryota, Viridiplantae, Streptophyta, Magnoliopsida, Ranunculales, Papaveraceae. The transcript is spliced from 2 exons. The record is from RefSeq and is a predicted model, not a curated record.